RNAcentral lists this ribosomal RNA (493 nucleotides) under uncultured bacterium. RNAcentral describes it as "partial 16S ribosomal RNA". It matches the Rfam family "Bacterial small subunit ribosomal RNA", at positions 30 to 523 of the family's 1533-position model. The record is from RNAcentral.
AUUGAACGCUGGCGGCAUGCUUUACACAUGCAAGUCGAACGGUAACAGGUUAAGCUGACGAGUGGCGAACGGGUGAGUAAUGCAUCGGAACGUGCCCGGUCGUGGGGGAUAACGCAGCGAAAGCUGCGCUAAUACCGCAUACGAUCUGAGGAUGAAAGCGGGGGACCGUAAGGCCUCGCGCGAUCGGAGCGGCCGAUGUCAGAUUAGGUAGUUGGUGGGGUAAAGGCUCACCAAGCCAACGAUCUGUAGCUGGUCUGAGAGGACGACCAGCCACACUGGGACUGAGACACGGCCCAGACUCCUACGGGAGGCAGCAGUGGGGAAUUUUGGACAAUGGGCGAAAGCCUGAUCCAGCAAUGCCGCGUGCAGGAAGAAGGCCUUCGGGUUGUAAACUGCUUUUGUACGGAGCGAAAAGGUCUCCUCUAAUACAGGGGGCUCAUGACGGUACUGUAUGAAUAAGGACCGGCUAAUUCCGUGCCAGCCGCCGCGGUAA